Molecule: small nuclear RNA, 107 nt
Organism: Acomys russatus (golden spiny mouse)
Lineage: Eukaryota; Metazoa; Chordata; Mammalia; Rodentia; Muridae
Source: RefSeq, a predicted model, not a curated record
GUUCUCACUUCGGCAGCACAUAUACUAAAACUGGAACGAUACCCAAAAGACUAGCAUGGCCGCUGCACAAGGAUGGCACACGAAUUUGUGAAGCAUUCCAUAUUAAA